UCCCUCUCAGGGUCAUAUCUGUAGAGUUCCCAAUACUCUACCAGUCUCAGCUACAAGAAGAAGAGUCAGGCAGAGGCAUAUCCAUUCCAUUCCUAGCUUGGGCAGUGGCUAGAGAGUGGAAAGUAAUCUGCUACAAGU
This is a small nucleolar RNA of Tachyglossus aculeatus (Australian echidna), 138 nucleotides long. The record is from RefSeq and is a predicted model, not a curated record. Lineage: Eukaryota; Metazoa; Chordata; Mammalia; Monotremata; Tachyglossidae.